RNAcentral lists this ribosomal RNA (444 nucleotides) under uncultured bacterium. RNAcentral describes it as "partial 16S ribosomal RNA". It matches the Rfam family "Bacterial small subunit ribosomal RNA", at positions 338 to 795 of the family's 1533-position model. The record is from RNAcentral.
CCUACGGGCGGCAGCAGUGGGGAAUAUUGGGCAAUGGAGGCAAGUCUUAACCAGCAAUGCCGCGUGAAUGAAGAAGGUCUUCGGAUUGUAAAGUUCUUUAAUUGGGGACGAAAAAAAUUACGGUACCCAAGGAAUAAGCCCCGGCUAAAUACGUGACAGGAGCCGCGGUAAUAAGUAGGGGGCAAGCGUUGUUCGGAAUGACUGGGCGUAAAUGGUGUGUAGGCGGUGUAGCAAGUUAGAAGUGAAAUACCUCGAGCUUAACUCAGGUGCUGCUUCUAAAACUGCUAGACUUGAGUGCAGUAGAGGAGAGUGGAAUUCGUAGUGUAGCGGUGGAAUGCGUAGAUAUUAGGAGGAACAUCAGUGGCGAAGGCGACUUUCUGGACUGUAACUGACGCUGAGGCACGAAAGUGUGGGGAGCAAACAGGAUUAGAUACCCUGGUAGUC